AUUGAACGCUGGCGGCAGGCUUAACACAUGCAAGUCGAGCGGGGUGAUGGUGCUUGCACUAUCACUUAGCGGCGGACGGGUGAGUAAUGCUUAGGAAUCUGCCUAUUAGUGGGGGACAACAUCUCGAAAGGGAUGCUAAUACCGCAUACGUCCUACGGGAGAAAGCAGGGGAUCACUUGUGACCUUGCGCUAAUAGAUGAGCCUAAGUCGGAUUAGCUAGUUGGUGGGGUAAAGGCCUACCAAGGCGACGCUCUGUAGCGGGUCUGAGAGGAUGAUCAGCCACACGGGGACUGAGACACGGCCCAGACUCCUACGGGAGGCAGCAGUGGGGAAUAUUGGACAAUGGGGGGAACCCUGAUCCAGCCAUGCCGAGUGUGUGAAGAAGGCCUUAUGGUUGUAAAGCACUUUAAGCGAGGAGGAGGCUCUUUUGGUUAAUACCCAAGAUGAGUGGACGUUACUCGCAGAAUAAGCACCGGCUAACUCUGUGCCAGCCGCCGCCGUAA
This 503-nucleotide ribosomal RNA is filed under the name uncultured bacterium. Its description in RNAcentral is "partial 16S ribosomal RNA". It matches the Rfam family "Bacterial small subunit ribosomal RNA", at positions 30 to 523 of the family's 1533-position model. The record is from RNAcentral.